RNAcentral lists this unclassified non-coding RNA (431 nucleotides) under soil metagenome. RNAcentral describes it as "partial contains 5.8S ribosomal RNA, internal transcribed spacer 2, and large subunit ribosomal RNA". The stretch from base 1 to 120 matches the Rfam family "5.8S ribosomal RNA", at positions 35 to 154 of the family's 154-position model. The record is from RNAcentral.
GAUGAAGAACGUAUCGAAAUGCGAUACGUAAUGUGAAUUGCAGAAUUCAGUGAAUCAUCGAAUCUUUGAACGCAUAUUGCGCUCUCUGGUAUUCCGGAGAGCAUGCUUGUUUGAGUAUCAGUAAACACCUCAACUCCCCUUUCUUUUUUGAAAUGGGAGCUGGACUUGAGUGAUCCCAACGCUUUUCUCACCGAAAAGUGGCGGGUUACUUGAAAUGCAGGUGCAGCUGGACUUUUCUCUGAGCUAAAAGCAUAUCUAUUUAGUCUGCCUAAAAACAGAUUAUUACCUUUGCUGCAGCUAACAUAAAGGAGAUUAGUUCUUGUGCUGACUGAUGCAGGAUUCACAGAGACAGCUUCGGCUGGCCUUUGUAAACUCGAUCUCAAAUCAAGUAAGACUACCCGCUGAACUUAAGCAUAUCAAUAAGCGGAGGA